AAUUACUGGGCGUAAAGCGUGCGUAGGUGGUGAUUUAAGUCUGUUGUGAAAGCCCUGGGCUCAACCUGGGAAUUGCAGUGGAUACUGGGUCACUAGAGUGUGGUAGAGGGUAGCGGAAUUCCCGGUGUAGCAGUGAAAUGCGUAGAGAUCGGGAGGAACAUCCGUGGCGAAGGCGGCUACCUGGACCAACACUGACACUGAGGCACGAAAGCGUGGGGAGCAAACAGGAUUAGAUACCCUGGUAGUCCACGCCCUAAACGAUGCGAACUGGAUGUUGGGUGCAAUUUGGCACGCAGUAUCGAAGCUAACGCGUUAAGUUCGCCGCCUGGGGAGUACGGUCGCAAGACUGAAACUCAAAGGAAUUGACGGGGGCCCGCACAAGCGGUGGAGUAUGUGGUUUAAUUCGAUGCAACGCGAAGAACCUUACCUGGUCUUGACAUCCACGGAACUUUCCAGAGAUGG
This 462-nucleotide ribosomal RNA is filed under the name Xanthomonas citri pv. punicae. Its description in RNAcentral is "bacterial SSU rRNA". It matches the Rfam family "Bacterial small subunit ribosomal RNA", at positions 549 to 1009 of the family's 1533-position model. The record is from RNAcentral. Lineage: Bacteria; Pseudomonadati; Pseudomonadota; Gammaproteobacteria; Lysobacterales; Lysobacteraceae.